RNAcentral lists this ribosomal RNA (722 nucleotides) under uncultured Fusobacterium sp. RNAcentral's name for it is "bacterial SSU rRNA". It matches the Rfam family "Bacterial small subunit ribosomal RNA", at positions 28 to 776 of the family's 1533-position model. Lineage: Bacteria; Fusobacteriati; Fusobacteriota; Fusobacteriia; Fusobacteriales; Fusobacteriaceae. The record is from RNAcentral.
GAUGAACGCUGACAGAAUGCUUAACACAUGCAAGUCAACUUGAACUUCAGUUUGGGUGGCGGACGGGUGAGUAACGCGUAAAGAACUUGCCUCACAGAUAGGGACAACAUUUGGAAACGAAUGCUAAUACCUGAUAUUAUGAUUUUAGGGCAUCCUAAGAUUAUGAAAGCUAUAUGCGCUGUGAGAGAGCUUUGCGUCCCACUAGCUAGUUGGAGAGGUAACGGCUCACCAAGGCGAUGAUGGGUAGCCGGCCUGAGAGGGUGAUCGGCCACAAGGGGACUGAGACACGGCCCUUACUCCUACGGGAGGCAGCAGUGGGGAAUAUUGGACAAUGGACCAAGAGUCUGAUCCAGCAAUUCUGUGUGCACGAUGAAGUUUUUCGGAAUGUAAAGUGCUUUCAGUUGGGAAGAAAAAAAUGACGGUACCAACAGAAGAAGUGACGGCUAAAUACGUGCCAGCAGCCGCGGUAAUACGUAUGUCACAAGCGUUAUCCGGAUUUAUUGGGCGUAAAGCGCGUCUAGGUGGUUAUGUAAGUCUGAUGUGAAAAUGCAGGGCUCAACUCUGUAUUGCGUUGGAAACUGUGUAACUAGAGUACUGGAGAGGUAAGCGGAACUACAAGUGUAGAGGUGAAAUUCGUAGAUAUUUGUAGGAAUGCCGAUGGGGAAGCCAGCUUACUGGACAGAUACUGACGCUGAAGCGCGAAAGCGUGGGUAGCAAACAGG